GGAGGAAGGUGGGGAUGACGUCAAAACAUCAUGCCCCUUAUGCUUAGGGCUACACACGUGCUACAAUGGGUAGUACAGAGGGUUGCCAAGCCGUAAGGUGGAGCUAAUCCCUUAAAGCUACUCUCAGCUCGGACUGUAGGCUGAAACUCGCCUACAUGAAGCUGGAGUUACUAGUAAUCGCAGAUCAGAAUGCUGCGGUGAAUGCGUUCCCGGGUCUUGUACACACCGCCCGUCACACCACGGGAG
RNAcentral lists this ribosomal RNA (246 nucleotides) under Clostridioides difficile. RNAcentral describes it as "partial 16S ribosomal RNA". It matches the Rfam family "Bacterial small subunit ribosomal RNA", at positions 1165 to 1410 of the family's 1533-position model. Lineage: Bacteria; Bacillati; Bacillota; Clostridia; Peptostreptococcales; Peptostreptococcaceae. The record is from RNAcentral.